RNAcentral lists this microRNA (21 nucleotides) under Picea abies (Norway spruce). RNAcentral describes it as "pab-miR3705". Lineage: Eukaryota; Viridiplantae; Streptophyta; Pinopsida; Pinales; Pinaceae. The record is from miRBase by way of RNAcentral.
GUAAGUGGUUAUGAUCUGGAC